GCUAGCGGCCAUAUCACCCCGCAACUCACAGCUGGCAGCCCACUGCAGCCCAGCAGGCGUGAGCCUGGUCAGUACCUGGAUGGGAGACUCCUGGGAAAGACCAAGGCUGCUGCUGGAA
RNAcentral lists this ribosomal RNA (118 nucleotides) under Lepisosteus oculatus (spotted gar). The record is from RNAcentral. Lineage: Eukaryota; Metazoa; Chordata; Actinopteri; Semionotiformes; Lepisosteidae.